This is a long non-coding RNA of Neofelis nebulosa (Clouded leopard), 633 nucleotides long. RefSeq lists it as uncharacterized. The record is from RefSeq and is a predicted model, not a curated record. The transcript is spliced from 2 exons. NCBI's taxonomy places the organism in Eukaryota, Metazoa, Chordata, Mammalia, Carnivora, Felidae.
GACAUCAGAACGCACAUGGAGGUUGUCCACGGGAACUGAGAGCUGAGGGAGCAAAGAGCCACCCUGUUGGUGAUGACCAAGAGGGAAGACAUCUGAGAGAAAAUGGGAACAGCAUCUGUUGUGCUUGGUUAUGGUACGAGCCAGGGUGGAUAGGAGAUGAAGGCGUGUGGUAGCAUCUGACGGGAACGGAAGGCAUCUGGAGAGAGGAACAAGUGGCCAAGAAAAGAAGCCGUGGCAUCCACCUUGCCGCCAAGGCGACCCAGCCAUUUCUUCCCAUGGCUUUGACAUGAGGGACAGACCGCCAAUCUGGAGGGUGAAAACAAUGGAUGAAUAUCCAAGUUCUUGAACCACAAGACCUUCCAGAGUCUGAACGUGACCCAACUGCCUCAUCAUCUACCCCCAUGCUCUCCCCCCCAGAUCUCGGCCAUCCCCUUCUAAUUCCUGGUUAUGGCAGACUGUUCUUGAUUCUUCGGGCCACCAUGUACUGUGUCCUUUCCUAGUUUGGAAAGCAUCCUCCACAGGUGAUUUUUCUAUUUGUGAGAGUCUCACCUAUCUUUGGUUGUAAUGUCAAAGGCCGCUUUAUUCUUGAAGCAUUUCCACUGUGCCUGGGUAGAAACCCUUGCUUCUGUCACA